RNAcentral lists this ribosomal RNA (464 nucleotides) under uncultured bacterium. RNAcentral describes it as "bacterial SSU rRNA". It matches the Rfam family "Bacterial small subunit ribosomal RNA", at positions 28 to 507 of the family's 1533-position model. The record is from RNAcentral.
GACGAACGCUGGCGGCGUGCCUAACACAUGCAAGUCGAACGGGAUCCAUGGAGUGCUUGCACUCCGGAAGAUCUAGUGGCGAACGGGUGAGUAACACGUGAGAAACCUGCCCCAGACUCUGGGAUAACCUCGGGAAACCGAAGCUAAUACCGGAUAUUCUCCUUUGGUCGCAUGGCCAGUUGAGGAAAGUUUUUCGGUCUGGGAGGGUCUCGCGGCCUAUCAGCUAGUUGGUGGGGUAACGGCCCACCAAGGCUACGACGGGUAGCUGGUUUGAGAGAACGAUCAGCCACACUGGAACUGAGACACGGUCCAGACUCCUACGGGAGGCAGCAGUGGGGAAUCUUGCGCAAUGGGCGAAAGCCUGACGCAGCAACGCCGCGUGCGGGAUGAAGGCCUUCGGGUUGUAAACCGCUUCAGCAGGACGAAAUGACGGUACCUGCAGAAGAAGCCCGGCUAACUACGUG